RNAcentral lists this ribosomal RNA (408 nucleotides) under uncultured Wolinella sp. RNAcentral describes it as "bacterial SSU rRNA". It matches the Rfam family "Bacterial small subunit ribosomal RNA", at positions 374 to 774 of the family's 1533-position model. The record is from RNAcentral. Lineage: Bacteria; Pseudomonadati; Campylobacterota; Epsilonproteobacteria; Campylobacterales; Helicobacteraceae.
GGCGAAAGCCUGACGCAGCGACGCCGCGUGAGGGAUGAAGGCCUUCGGGUCGUAAACCUCUGUCAGGAGGGAAGAACCGCCAUGGUGCUAAUCAGCCAUGGUCUGACGGUACCUCCAAAGGAAGCACCGGCUAACUCCGUGCCAGCAGCCGCGGUAAUACGGAGGGUGCAAGCGUUACUCGGAAUCACUGGGCGUAAAGAGCACGUAGGCGGCCUUGCAAGUCAGAUGUGAAAUCCAACGGCUUAACCGUUGAACUGCAUUUGAAACUGCAAGGCUAGAGUAUGGGAGAGGUAGGUGGAAUUCUCGGUGUAGGGGUAAAAUCCGUAGAGAUCGAGAGGAAUACUCAUUGCGAAGGCGACCUGCUGGAACAUUACUGACGCUGAGGUGCGAAAGCGUGGGGAGCAAACA